This 497-nucleotide ribosomal RNA is filed under the name uncultured bacterium. RNAcentral describes it as "partial 16S ribosomal RNA". It matches the Rfam family "Bacterial small subunit ribosomal RNA", at positions 28 to 507 of the family's 1533-position model. The record is from RNAcentral.
GAUGAACGCUGGCGGCGUGCCUAAUACAUGCAAGUCGAGCGAACAGAUGAUGAGCUUGCUCCUCUGACGUUAGCGGCGGACGGGUGAGUAACACGUGGAUAACCUACCUAUAAGACUGGGAUAACUUCGGGAAACCGGAGCUAAUACCGGAUAAUAUAUUGAACCGCAUGGUUCAAUAGUGAAAGACGGUUUUGCUGUCACUUAUAGCUGGAUCCGCGCCGCAUUAGCUAGUUGGUAAGGUAACGGCUUACCAAGGCGACGAUGCGUAGCCGACCUGAGAGGGUGAUCGGCCACACUGGAACUGAGACACGGUCCAGACUCCUACGGGAGGCAGCAGUAGGGAAUCUUCCGCAAUGGGCGAAAGCCUGACGGAGCAACGCCGCGUGAGUGAUGAAGGUCUUCGGAUCGUAAAACUCUGUUAUUAGGGAAGAACAAAUGUGUAAGUAACUAUGCACGUCUUGACGGUACCUAAUCAGAAAGCCACGGCUAACUACGUG